AAAAGAAUAGAUUUACCGUAGACAGUGGGUGCGAUAUAGCUUAAUUUCCCACCGAGGUUGCGAUAUACGUGAUACUUGUACCCUUGCAGUCUAUAAAUUAGUUGCAGGGGUUUUUUAUAUU
RNAcentral lists this small RNA (121 nucleotides) under Peptostreptococcus russellii. RNAcentral describes it as "Ribosomal protein L10 leader". It matches the Rfam family "Ribosomal protein L10 leader". Rfam says of the family: This family is a putative r-protein leader autoregulatory structure found in B. subtilis and other low-GC Gram-positive bacteria. It is located in the 5' untranslated regions of mRNAs encoding ribosomal proteins L10 and L12 (rplJ-rplL). Lineage: Bacteria; Bacillati; Bacillota; Clostridia; Peptostreptococcales; Peptostreptococcaceae. The record is from RNAcentral.